RNAcentral lists this ribosomal RNA (448 nucleotides) under uncultured bacterium. RNAcentral describes it as "bacterial SSU rRNA". It matches the Rfam family "Bacterial small subunit ribosomal RNA", at positions 331 to 793 of the family's 1533-position model. The record is from RNAcentral.
CCAGACUCCUACGGGAGGCAGCAGUGGGGAAUAUUGGGCAAUGGGCGCAAGCCUGACCCAGCAAUGCCGCGUGAAGGAAGAAGGCUUUCGGGUUGUAAACUUCUUUGACAGGGGAAGAGCAGAAGACGGUACCCUGAAAACAAGCUACGGCUAACUACGUGCCAGCAGCCGCGGUAAUACGUAGGUGGCAAGCGUUAUCCGGAUUUACUGGGUGUAAAGGGCGUGUAGGCGGGUCUGCAAGUCAGAUGUGAAAUCUCAUGGCUCAACCAUGGAACUGCAUUUGAAACUGUAGAUCUUGAGUGAUGGAGAGGCAGGCGGAAUUCCGUGUGUAGCGGUGAAAUGCGUAGAUAUACGGAGGAACACCAGUGGCGAAGGCGGCCUGCUGGACAUUAACUGACGCUGAGGCGCGAAAGCGUGGGGAGCAAACAGGAUUAGAUACCCGUGUAAA